AAGUCGAGCGAUCUUCUUCGGAAGAGAGCGGCGGGACGGGUGAGUAACGCGGUGGGUAACCUGCCCUGUACACACGGAUAACAUACCGAAGGUAUGCUAAUACGAGAUAAUAUGCUCUUAUCGCAUGGUAGAAGUAUCAAAGCUUUUGCGGUACAGGAUGGACCCGCGUCUGAUUAGCUGGUUGGUAAGGUAACGGCUUACCAAGGCGACGAUCAGUAGCCGACCUGAGAGGGUGAUCGGCCACAUUGGAACUGAGACACGGUCCAAACUCCUACGGGAGGCAGCAGUGGGGAAUAUUGCACAAUGGGCGAAAGCCUGAUGCAGCAACGCCGCGUGAGCGAUGAAGGCCUUCGGGUCGUAAAGCUCUGUCCUCAAGGAAGAUAAUGACGGUACUUGAGGAGGAAGCCCCGGCUAACUACGUG
This 422-nucleotide ribosomal RNA is filed under the name uncultured bacterium. Its description in RNAcentral is "bacterial SSU rRNA". It matches the Rfam family "Bacterial small subunit ribosomal RNA", at positions 59 to 507 of the family's 1533-position model. The record is from RNAcentral.